GGGGGGGGAUGCCAUGGGCGCAGCCUGAUGCAGCCAUGCCGCGUGUGUGAAGAAGGCCUUCGGGUUGUAAAGCACUUUCAGUCAGGAGGAAAGGUUAACGGUUAAUACCCGUUAGCUGUGACGUUACUGACAGAAGAAGCACCGGCUAACUCCGUGCCAGCAGCCGCGGUAAUACGGAGGGUGCGAGCGUUAAUCGGAAUUACUGGGCGUAAAGCGUACGCAGGCGGUUUGUUAAGCGAGAUGUGAAAGCCCCGGGCUCAACCUGGGAACUGCAUUUCGAACUGGCAAACUAGAGUGUGAUAGAGGGUGGUAGAAUUUCAGGUGUAGCGGUGAAAUGCGUAGAGAUCUGAAGGAAUACCGAUGGCGAAGGCAGCCACCUGGGUCAACACUGACGCUCAUGUACGAAAGCGUGGGGAGCAAACGGGAUUAGAUACCCCGGUAGUCCACGCCGUAAACGAUGUCUACUAGAAGCUCGGAGCCUCGGUUCUGUUUUUCAAAGCUAACGCAUUAAGUAGACCGCCUGGGGAGUACGGCCGCAAGGUUAAAACUCAAAUGAAUUGACGGGGGCCCGCACAAGCGGUGGAGCAUGUGGUUUAAUUCGAUGCAACGCGAAGAACCUUACCUACACUUGACAUACAGAGAACUUACCAGAGAUGGUUUGGUGCCUUCGGGAACUCUGAUACAGGUGCUGCAUGGCUGUCGUCAGCUCGUGUUGUGAGAUGUUGGGUUAAGUCCCGCAACGAGCGCAACCCCUAUCCUUAGUUGCUAGCAGGUAAUGCUGAGAACUCUAAAGGAGACUGCCGGUGAUAAACCGGAGGAAGGUGGGGACGACGUCAAGUCAUCAUGGCCCUUACGUGUAGGGCUACACACGUGCUACAAUGGCGCAUACAGAGUGCUGCGAACUCGCGAGAGUAAGCGAAUCACUUAAAGUGCGUCGUAGUCCGGGAUUGGAGUCUGCAACUCGACUCCAUGAAGUCGG
This 979-nucleotide ribosomal RNA is filed under the name Pseudoalteromonas sp. YAAJ-12. RNAcentral describes it as "bacterial SSU rRNA". It matches the Rfam family "Bacterial small subunit ribosomal RNA", at positions 353 to 1329 of the family's 1533-position model. The record is from RNAcentral. Lineage: Bacteria; Pseudomonadati; Pseudomonadota; Gammaproteobacteria; Alteromonadales; Pseudoalteromonadaceae.